Molecule: long non-coding RNA, 1628 nt
Filed under: Chrysolophus pictus (golden pheasant)
Lineage: Eukaryota; Metazoa; Chordata; Aves; Galliformes; Phasianidae
Description: lncRNA (ENSCPIG00010011292.1)
Source: RNAcentral
GCACUGUGAAAGGUGGUGGGCUGCCUGGAGCGCAUCACAUCCGUCUGUUUGUAACUAAUUUGGCUGUAGUCUCUUCAUUGUUCUGAAUUUGUGUUCUCCACACUCUGGGUUUAACUCCACACUCUGGGUUUAACUCAGGGUUUUAACAAUGGCUGCUCAGUGCCCUCCCCGAUGUCUGCAAUUCCCACACACAAGUGUUGAGUGGUGACAAGAGUUAGUGUGCCCAGCUUAGCAUGGGUGCUUGUUGGAGUGGCCCAUGACUGAUGAGCUGGGCAGAGUAACUCCUUGGUUUGUUUUGUGCCCCGAUGCUGUUUGGUAUUUUACAUUUCACAAUUGGAUGCAUUAGCCCUGUGUCUCUGUUGAGCCGUGUUUUUACCCCUUGUGAUUUCCCACAGCUUCAGUUUUCAGACUUCCAUUCACACAGCUGCUGCCUCCCACCCGGGAUGCAUCCCUGGUGAAUAUUUCCUUUUUUUUUUUCCCUCUGCCCUUUUAAGGCGCUGUUUGUUUGCAAGAUAAUGACUAGAUGUGGCAACCCCUUCUUUCCUUACGCUCACCUGCAGACACACAGCUGGCUCCAAAACCAGCUCUACAGGAGCAGAGAGCAGCAGAGGGUGCUCUUGUGAGCUGGGUGCCUGCAGAGCCUGCUCGCAGCCAAGGCGGGGAGAAGCCCAGCCUGCUGCUGGGUGAAACAACAAGCUCUGCAGGUCAGGAAGCUGUGGUCUUGUGCUGCAUGGUAUCUGCACAGAGCCGCCUGCCGAGAGCGAGCUGAAGAGUGGGAGAGCUUGGAUCGAGAUGCUCGGAAUGUUUGGGAGCCCCUGAUGAGGAGCAGACUUGUGGUUUAAAGGAGACAAAGUUCUCUGAGUUGACUGGCAAGGAAGCAAGCAUGGCUGGAUUCCUGUUCUUCACACUCACCAGCUUCUGAGGUUCUGCAAACGCUCAGCCCUGCAGCGGCGCCCCAUGGCUGUGAACUACAGUGAGGGGCUGCUGGGACCCCCACCCCUGGUGGCCCUCGCUGUCCUGGCCCUGCUCGGAGGCCUGGUUUACCUGUGCACCCUGUGUGCUGCCUGCCGACGCCAUGGCAGGAGAAAGAAGGUCCCUCCAGACGGCGUGAAGCUGGUGGAUGAGUCCCUGCUCAGACAGACACAGCUGCGCUCGCUCAGCAAGUCAGACACGAGGCUCCACGAGCUGUACCGCCUGAAGGCCAAGGACAACAACCAGCGCCCGGCCAGCCUGGAUUUCCCCCUCUCCUCACUGCCUCCUGACUCCCUGCACAGCUCCGUCCUCCUGCACCGCCAGCUGCCCCUGAUCCCCAGGUCUGAGCCUGCAGCCCCUGACCAGACCUACUCCAACCUGCUCUUCGCCCCGCCGCAUCGUGCACCCCCGGACACGCUCUACGAGUGCCUGGCAAUGGGGGAGGAUGAUGUACCUUCUGCCACUGGGACCCCAGCGUCCCCCCUCCGCGUCAGGCAAGGGGCUGCUGACUAUGCCUGCGUCCGGAAGGUGAAGAAGACUGUGCCAGAGGAGCAGGAGGGGGCCGUGGCAGGGCCCUCUACAGCCCCACAGUGCUGGGAAGGUGCAAACGAUGCACCCCGUCUGAAGCUGGAAGAUAUGUACUCAACGGUGUGCAA